RNAcentral lists this long non-coding RNA (473 nucleotides) under Prunus dulcis (almond). RNAcentral describes it as "sRNA ncRNA". Lineage: Eukaryota; Viridiplantae; Streptophyta; Magnoliopsida; Rosales; Rosaceae. The record is from RNAcentral.
AUGCCUUCAUUCAUAAAAUUCCUAAAGUUUUGUGUUUGCGAAAAGGACAUUUCAUGUUCUCUCUACAAUACGAAGGUAAGCCUUUUACUUAAUUUCAUUCUGUUUAUCAGAGUUUUUCUUUUUUCCUUAUGUAAAUAUGAUCUUUAUGUAUGCAGCAAAAGAUAGUGAUCAAGGUGCAAUUGACCUCUCAGAACUGCAGAACCAAGGCCUUGAAGAUUGCUGCAGAAGCCAAAGGUGUGAGCAAUGUUUCCAUAGACGUAGAGAAAGCGGUAGUGGAGGUGAUUGGAAUUGGAGUUGAUGCCGUUUCCUUGGCACAGUCAUUGGAGAAGCAGCUUGGCUUUGCUUCCAUUGUUAGUGUUGGAGAAGUGAAAAAACCAGAGGAGCCAAAGCCAGCCAUUCCAAUUGAAUGGACAUCAAGCUAUAUUCACUGUCCACGGUAUGCUGUGCACUAUGAUGGAUUCUGCCGAUGUUAA